CCCUAUGGGGUGCAGCAGUUACGAAACCUCUACAAUGCACGCAAGUGUGAUAGGGGGAUCCCUCGUGCAAUCCAUUCGGAUUGCUUUUUUAGAGUGUACAAAGCUCUGAGAAUAAGGGGUGGGCAAGACCGGUGCCAGCCGCCGCGGUAAUCCCGGCGCCCCAAGUGGUGAUCACGAUUAUUGGGCCUAAAGCAUCCGUAGCUGGUUUAGUAAGUCUCUGGUGAAAUUUGGCAGCUUAACUGUCGAGCCUGCUGGAGAUACUGCUUUACUUGAGACCGGGAGAAGCUAGAGGUAUUCUGGGGGGAGCGGUAAAAUGUUUUAAUCCUCAGAGGACCAUCAGUGGCGAAGGCGUCUAGCUAGAACGGGUCUGACAGUGAGGGAUGAAAGCUAGGGGAGCAAACGGGAUUAGAUACCCCGGUAGUCCUAGCCGUAAACGCUGCUUGCCAGAUGUUGCGUAUUUUUCGAGAAUAUGCAGCGUCGUAACGAAGGUGUUAAGCAAGCCGCCUGGGAAGUACGGUCGCAAGGCUGAAACUUAAAGGAAUUGGCGGGGAGACACUACAAGGGGUGAAUGCUGCGGUUUAAUUGGAUUAUACGCCCGGAACCUUACCAGAGGCGACAGCAGGAUGAAGGUCAGUCUGAAUGGCUCACUCGACACGCUGAGAGGUGGUGCAUGGCCAAU
RNAcentral lists this ribosomal RNA (679 nucleotides) under uncultured archaeon. Its description in RNAcentral is "bacterial SSU rRNA". It matches the Rfam family "Archaeal small subunit ribosomal RNA", at positions 321 to 1002 of the family's 1478-position model. The record is from RNAcentral.